CUUAGAUUUUUUCACCAUUUGUCCCUUUUAUUCAUAGAGCUUUUUCUAUCUGAGUUUCUCGAUCAACUCUUUUCCUCCAAACAAUAGGUCUCGAGCCGAUCAGUUACCCAAAUAGUUUGGUGAGGGAAUUCAUAGUUAAUGUUCUCCAUCUUAUCCAAGUGAGGACAACGUAUCAGACAUAUACACGGUUUCUAGCAUAUGUACCAUGACCCCGAGCUCGAAGAGCUACAACUGCACAUGUAUCACUUUUUCGACGUCGUUUUCUAUCGUUAAGUAGAACUCAAGGAGUCUCCUUUGUUGAAGAGCUUACAAUUUCAUAGAGACGCUCGAGAACGAGAGGAUAAAGUUGUGUCUGAAGCGACUGCAACCAGAGAAUUUGAGAAUUUCGUGAAGGAAAGAUGUGGGGGUUCAUGGAACGUACUCGAGUAGUUGAAGAGUAUGACCAAUCCUCCACAUCUACUAGAGUUACUGCAGCCCUUAUGAGCUCUAUGGAACAAAGUCAGCAACCAUGGGUGGUGCCUACGGCUUCUGAGAGGCAUUUAGGCCCGACAUUGGACCCCCAAACCCCUCCCCCUAAAGCUACACACUUUGACUUGGAGACGAUUGUGUCUGAAUCUGUGUCGUUGGAGGUGGUUCAUGCCAUUAAGGAGCACUAUGGUAUUGCCUCCAAUCAUUUUUUGAAUAGGCUCCUGACAGGAUAGAGCGAGCUUGUUACUCAUACAAUGGCUUCUCGGCCUAGAGUCACCUACAUGGAAGUCAGCGCUACCCUUCCCUCCACCAAUACUUCAUCAACUUCAUGGUCUAGAUGAGGGUAUCGCCAUUCUAGUUUAUACAGAAUGCCUAUCGACUCUUGGAAGCAUUUUGCAUGUUGUGAAAGGAGAAGGACUGGAUCCUCACAAACCUCGAAGAGAUUCACUACCACUUCCAGAUUAAAGCCACUCCUAAGAAAGGGACAAAGGAAGAUGAUGAUGUUUACUCCUUAAUAAAAUGGAUGUCGCUCUAUCGAACACUCCAUCAUAACGAGAACAAGCCUAUAAGUUAUUUUCUCAAUAAUGUUCGAUACUCGCAACAAUCAUCAACUAUGCCUUAUAUUCAACCAAGUCAGUGAGUCAUAUUCUUGACCCUUAUGUCGUACCCAUUUUGUUUUUCAUAUUCGAUUUUACCUUAUGGAUCCCUGAUUUUUCCCUCCAAGACAAUAUUCUAGGCCAAGGAAGACCGACCUUUAUUUGGCAAGAGCCCAAGUCAUUCAUACCCCUCCCAUGAGGAGAAGGUUAUAUUCUACGUUAUCUUUCAAAUUGUAUCUGCUCAAAUUUAACCAGCAUCGUUUGCGUCAUUUCUCCCAUAAAUGUGUCUAUUUGUAGGUUUUGAGUGGGCUAUUAAAUUUCUUCAUUUGAAUUCGCUUCAAGAUUGGACAUAUUAAAAUAAUAAAAUUUGCAAAACAAUGUUAAAGACCUCACAAGCACUCUCUCAUGUGUUUUCACUGUAAAAAAUUAUGUAACACUCAACCCUCGUGUCUAGUCUCAAUCUGGCUUUCAUCAAAUAAUGUUCUCACACUCUUUUGCCUUUUUCCA
Humulus lupulus (European hop) is the source of this 1571-nucleotide long non-coding RNA. RefSeq lists it as uncharacterized. The transcript is spliced from 2 exons. The record is from RefSeq and is a predicted model, not a curated record. Lineage: Eukaryota; Viridiplantae; Streptophyta; Magnoliopsida; Rosales; Cannabaceae.